UGUCAGUAGUCUGUCUGAAUCUUUACCAGUUCAAUGCACAGAUGGCAGUGUCCCAGAAGCCCAGUCAACAUUAGACUCUACAUCUUCAUCUAUGCAGCCCAGCCCUGUAUCAAAUCAGUCACUUUUAUCAGAAUCUGUAGCAUCUUCUCAAUUGGACAGUACAUCUGUGGACAAAGCAGUACCUGAAACAGAAGAUCUGCAGGGUUUGUAUAUGAACUAGCAUGUAUUUUGUUAUUUGAGUAUUAUAGGCCAGACGCUAUCCUAGGUGCAUGUAUAAAAAAAUUGCCAACUUAAAAUACAUAUUUUUCUGUUUUCCUUAUGAACACAAUACUUUAUAUCUUUAAGUAUUUAAUUAACAUGUUGGGGAGCCAUUUCACACUUACAUGUAAUUUUAUCAUCAGCAUAAACGUUGCAAAUUCAAAAUUUGUUUAGUUUGGAAAAUAUAAUUAAAUGAAUGUGUGGCAGUGUUA
Molecule: small RNA, 470 nt
Filed under: Pongo abelii (Sumatran orangutan)
Lineage: Eukaryota; Metazoa; Chordata; Mammalia; Primates; Hominidae
Description: retained intron
Source: RNAcentral